AUAUGAGGUAGAGGUCGCGGUUCUGAUGAACCCAGUGGAGCGAGAGGUCGCGCUGAAGCUGGCAGAGGGAGCACCGCCGAAAUGUCAUACACACCUCUGGGUAUGAUGUUGGGACAGUAUGCGAAUAGCUGCUGGACUGUCUUAGUGGAGACACUAAGUUGCGCUAUGUUUUCU
This 174-nucleotide non-coding RNA is filed under the name Enterococcus canis. Its description in RNAcentral is "Lysine sequence". It matches the Rfam family "Lysine riboswitch aptamer". Rfam says of the family: Riboswitches are metabolite binding domains within certain messenger RNAs that serve as precision sensors for their corresponding targets. Allosteric rearrangement of mRNA structure is mediated by ligand binding, and this results in modulation of gene expression. The record is from Rfam by way of RNAcentral. Lineage: Bacteria; Bacillati; Bacillota; Bacilli; Lactobacillales; Enterococcaceae.